CCACUUCUACUCCUGCCCUUUGCUCAAAGCCAGCAGAGCUAAUAUACACAGAAAAAAAUCUUGAGUUGAAAUGGCAUUGUGAGAUAUUAGUAACUGAUGGCUUUGUGUGUUAACAUGGACUGUUUAUUAUUGCCACUUGCCUCAAUUCUUUACAAGAGCAAGUCAGGAAUCUUAUCCUUGAAAUUGGAAUAAUUUCAUUUUUAACACUCCUUAGUUGAAUGAAACAGUCCACAGAAUCUCCAACGAAGAGCUGGAGCCUGAGGCCUACAUUUACAUGUGAAGCCUGAAACAAAAUGGCUGACCUUUAGCUUUUGGAUUUCCGAUAAUGCAUCUCCCACUACAAUAUUAAAAGAUAUACUUGGCGAAGAAGACUUUGGCAAAGGUAGAACAAUGCUCAGUAUCAAGAUGCUCCCAGACCUGCUGAGUUUCUCUUAACUUUGUUACACACAAUUAUUUGGCAACAAGAACAGUGGCCGCAGACUGUUUUUAGUUCACACACACACACCACCCUCGACAACUUCUAAUUUUUUUCAAGUAGCCUAACCGGAGGGAAUGGAGAACGGAGUUCGAGACCAGCCGACGCGGGAGACAAGUCAUGGGCAGAGGGGCCGUGUCCCGGAAGCGAGCCACGGUCAGAGCCGGAGCGGGAGCAGAGCGAGCGCGGGAUGAGCUGGGAGCUCAGUCAUGGCG
Chiloscyllium plagiosum (whitespotted bambooshark) is the source of this 690-nucleotide non-coding RNA. The record is from RefSeq and is a predicted model, not a curated record. NCBI's taxonomy places the organism in Eukaryota, Metazoa, Chordata, Chondrichthyes, Orectolobiformes, Hemiscylliidae.